This 274-nucleotide ribosomal RNA is filed under the name uncultured bacterium. Its description in RNAcentral is "partial 16S ribosomal RNA". It matches the Rfam family "Bacterial small subunit ribosomal RNA", at positions 523 to 796 of the family's 1533-position model. The record is from RNAcentral.
AUACGGAGGGGGCUAGCGUUGUUCGGAAUUACUGGGCGCAAAGCGCGCGUAGGCGGGUUGGCAAGUUGAAGGUGAAAUCCCAGGGCUCAACCCUGGAACUGCCUCCAAAACUGCCAGUCUUGAGUUCGGAAGAGGUGAGUGGAAUUCCUAGUGUAGAGGUGAAAUUCGUAGAUAUUAGGAAGAACACCAGUGGCGAAGGCGACUCACUGGUCCGAUACUGACGCUGAGGUGCGAAAGCGUGGGGAGCAAACAGUAUUAGAAACCCUAGUAGUCC